CAGUUAUUCCAUGUGAAUUAGCCAUAACCCUUUUUUCUUUUUUUUCUCAAAAGAAGGGUCGCAUCUUUUUAUUCGGUGCUUAAAAUGUCACAUCUUGUACCAAAACAAUGUUGUAUGUGUGAUAGCUUUAGUUUUGCUUAAAUACAUGUCUAAAGAACAGAGAAUGCAUCAAUUGAAAUCUAAUUAAGAUUGAUUGUGGAGAUAUAAAUGGAAGAUCGAUCGCCAUAGAACAUCAUCUAAUAUAUAUCGUGAACAAUGCUCCUCAACUGUGAAACAAUAAGUACAGUACAUAUAUUUUGUUGUAAAUUAUUAAUUACCACCGAUCGAGAACCUGAUCUUGAAGCACAACUCAUUAUAUAUAUGAUUGUCAAAAGAGUAGUUUCUUGAAGAAUUAUUUCACAUCAUUAAUUAUUAUAGAGUACUGUUGUGCUGGGAGAUCGUACCUUGGUAUGAUGCCCUGGCUAGCUUUCCACAUCUCUUAAGCUUUCAGCCUUCAUAUAUAAAGGAGGUGAUCAUUGCAAACCAUUAGUUCUUUUCUUUUUGUAACGUGGUUGUUUGGUUUCCUAGCUAGACAUCUCCUUGGCGGCUUUCUCAUGCAGAACGUUUGGAAUUAAUUUUCUUGAUAAGAUCAUUUCACACAUCCAACAAAAAAGGAGGUGAUGGCAAGAAGAAUAGGUUAUGUUCGCUACAGAGAAAACACUUCCAAGGACACGUGAGAAGCCAUUUACUUGAGAAACCAGGCUAUGUACGAAAAAUGGUAAAAACAGCCUUGUUCUAUACCUAAUGGCCAAAUCAAUCAGCCUGAACGCCAUCCCACCAUAGAAAUUUGGACGAUUGUCCAUAGCUGGGUCAGCACUUCUGAGAUUCCUUGUUGUUUUUGGAAACGAAAGCUUGCUUCAGCUUUUAUCUCGAAUGCUCCAUGAACAACAAUAUUCCAUGAUCCAUGCAAGGAGGAAGAUGAUCAAAGCUUCUUGGAUGCAGUCCAUGGGAGAGAUCUUGACCAUAAAAGCAAGAAACAGAUCGCCCCAAAAAAUCCUGAGUUGCCAUGUUCUCCCACGGCUUUCUUGAGCUUCCAUGGUGCUAGCUAGCUAAACAAGAAUAACUAUACAGAUAUAUAGUGAU
This is a long non-coding RNA of Populus euphratica (Euphrates poplar), 1122 nucleotides long. RefSeq lists it as uncharacterized. NCBI's taxonomy places the organism in Eukaryota, Viridiplantae, Streptophyta, Magnoliopsida, Malpighiales, Salicaceae. The record is from RefSeq and is a predicted model, not a curated record. The transcript is spliced from 2 exons.